UGUCUUCAGACUGGUGGAGGGUCAUCAUGGUGUCUGUGGGUUUAGCAGCACUCAUAAUAACUGUUGUGGCGGUCAACAUAUGGAUGAGAACUAAAGGAAACAGAACAGAGAUGGAUGGCAAUGCUGAGCAUCAUGAUGAAGAUGAAGGUACAGUGACCUAUGAAAACGUUGGAGAACCUUCUG
Molecule: long non-coding RNA, 183 nt
Organism: Perca fluviatilis (European perch)
Lineage: Eukaryota; Metazoa; Chordata; Actinopteri; Perciformes; Percidae
Exons: 3
Source: RefSeq, a predicted model, not a curated record